GUGGGGAAUAUUGGACAAUGGGCGAAAGCCUGAUCCAACCAUGCCGCGUGUGUGAAGAAGGUCUUCGGAUUGUAAAGCACUUUAAGUUGGGAGGAAGGGCAGUAAGUUAAUACCUUGCUGUUUUGACGUUACCAACAGAAUAAGCACCGGCUAACUUCGUGCCAGCAGCCGCGGUAAUACGAAGGGUGCAAGCGUUAAUCGGAAUUACUGGGCGUAAAGUGCGCGUAGGUGGUUUUGUAAGUUGGAGGUGAAAUCCCCGGGCUCAACCUGGGAACUGACACCAAAACUGCAUGACUAGAGUACGGUAGAGGGUAGUGGAAUUUCCUGUGUAGAGGUGAAAGGCGUAGAUAUAGGAAGGAACACCAGUGGCGAAGGCGACUACCUGGACUGAUACUGACACUGAGGUGCGAAAGCGUGGGGAGCAAACAGGAUUAGAAACCCCAGUAGUCC
RNAcentral lists this ribosomal RNA (450 nucleotides) under uncultured bacterium. RNAcentral's name for it is "partial 16S ribosomal RNA". It matches the Rfam family "Bacterial small subunit ribosomal RNA", at positions 354 to 796 of the family's 1533-position model. The record is from RNAcentral.